ACCUGGCCGGCUCAGUUGGUAGAGCAUGUGACUCUUGAUCUCAGGGUUGUGAGUUCGAGCCUCACGUUGGGUG
Molecule: non-coding RNA, 73 nt
Organism: Felis catus (domestic cat)
Lineage: Eukaryota; Metazoa; Chordata; Mammalia; Carnivora; Felidae
Source: Rfam